Molecule: RNA transcript, 4258 nt
Organism: Onychostoma macrolepis
Lineage: Eukaryota; Metazoa; Chordata; Actinopteri; Cypriniformes; Cyprinidae
Exons: 6
Source: RefSeq, a predicted model, not a curated record
CUUUCCACUCAUAAGGUCAGAAGCUGCUGUUAUCAACACAGGUGUGAAUGAGAUCUAAAGAUCCAGCUGAGGAAUCAACCUUCCAUGUCAGUUUCAGACUGCAUAGUUGGUCCAACAGAGGAAAUAUGAAUAGCUCAGUGUUUCCAAGCCUCGGGUUUCUUUAUUUUUCAUUACUCAUCUUCACAAAUGAAUAGAAUCUUGGAAUCGCUGGAGGGCAGGGCGGUGCCCCCCUGUCAACAAGCUUGGCCCCCCUAAAUUUGGAAUUAUAUCACACCAAACAAUUUUGGGUGAAAUGCGCAGUUUUGCAGCGAACUAUAUCAAAAGAAAAACAGCUGUUGAAUUCAAUCUGCGUUCGCUGGCUGGCACAGAGCCAGAGACACACACGCUUUAAAAGCGCUGCGCAUUAUACCCAAUCACAUACGUCUCUGUUGAGUUUAUGAAUGCAAGGACCAAUCAGAAGCGUUCAGAUGAGUCAUCGCCGAAGCGCCGCUAUUUCGUCACCGCGCGCGCUCGCGGACUGAAUUCUCUCCUCAGAAAUAACAAAGUGAAGAUGUAGGAAUGUGUGUUUGGUGUUGAGACAGAAGAUGUGUCUGUGACGCAGGGAGAUUCUGUCACACUACACACAGGUGUUGAAAAACAGAAAGAUGAUCUGAUAGUAUGGUAUUAUGGACCUGAAAAAACUCUAGUUGUCCAAAUCAAUGGAAAGGCCAGUAGCACCAUAAUAGCUGAUAGGGUUGUUGGCAGAGUGCAGGUGGACAGUCAGACUGGAUCUCUCACCUUCACAAACAUCAGAACCACAGACUCUGGACUUUAUAAUCUUAAAAUCAGCAGCAGCAAUAAGGUUUCAUACAAGAGAUUCAGUGUUUCGGUCUAUGAUCAUCUUCCUGUUCCUGUCAUCAUCAGAGACACUUCACAAUGUUCUUCAUCAUCUGAGAGUUCAUCAGUGUCUAAAUGUUCACUGCUGUGUUCAGUGCUGAAUGUGAGUCAUGUGACUCUCUCCUGGUUCAAAGGAAACAGUUUAAUCUCCAGCAUCAGUGCGUCUGAUCUCAGCAUCAGUCUCUCUCUAUCUCUGGAGGUGGAACAUCAGGAUAAAAACACCUACAGCUGUGUGUUAAACAACAACAUCAGCAGCCAGACAACACAUCUGGACAUCAGUCAACUCUGUCAGCCGUGUGCAGAUUUUCCAGUAUUUUUGAUUCCAGUGCUGCUCUCUGUAGUAAUAGUACUAGUGAUUGUAGCUGUGAUAUGCUUCAGGAAAAAGAGAGGAGGAUAUCAAAAAGCCAACUUGAUGCAAGUUGGAUGCAAUGAAACCAGCAUAGGAGCGCUGACCGUCAAAGAAAGCAAACAUAAAAUCCAGGAACAAGUUUGAAGAUGCAAACACAGGGAUUCAUGGAUUCUAGCUAUGAUUGUUUUUUCUUUCCUCUCUUCAUUGAUCGCACUUAUCUCCAGCAGCCUGAAUCAUUUACAUUUUUCUAAUCUCUGAAAUGUUCUAAUAUGUAGUUCAUUUCCCCAUUACGUAAAACAGAAUCUAAAGGGAUGGUUCACUCAGAAAUGAAAAUUCUGUGAUCAUUACUCACCCUCAUGUCAUCCCAUACCUGUAUGAGUUUCUCUCUUCUGUUGAACACAAAAUGAGUAUAUACAGUGGAAGUCAAUGGGAACCAAAACGGUUUGGUUACCGAUAUUCUUCAAAAUAUCUUCUUUUAUGUUUAAUAGAAGACUGAAAGUCAUACAGGUUUAAAAUGACAUGAGGAUGAGUAAAUUAUGACAGAAAUGAAAUUUUUUGGCUGAAGUAAGCUUUAACCUUUUAGGCUUUAAUCUGAAUGGUUAUAAAAAGAAAGUCGCAAUAAGUUAGGAACAAUGAAAAAAGAGGAAAUUUUAUUACCAAAAGCAAACAAUUAUAGCUAGACUUAGCUAAGCCUGUCUGCUAAAGUGGUGCAGGGACUACACAAUUUAGGUGAACCCUAAAAUAAGCUGUGUAUUAAGAGGUAAAUCCCAUCGAUUCCUGGGGCUUUCUUGUUUGCCAGGUGUUUCUUAGCCCAUGCUUGUUCCAAAAUAAUGUGUAAACCAAGCCAUAUAGUCGAUUCUUCAACUAUAUGCCGGUCCCAAGCCCGGAUAAAUGGUGAGGGACUGCAACGGUGAACGACCCUGUAAAACAUUUUUUAGCCAAAAACUUAAUAUAAAAUAAUAAUACAGAUGGUAAAAAAGACACAUGGUGAAGUUCAUCAAAAGUAUCCAUAAGUGAAAAAAGGAUAACUUGUUUCAGGGUUUUAGGUGUCAUUCCUACACCACUAUAAACAUUGCAGGCUCUGAGCAGCAAAAUCUUCAGCCAAAAUUAGACAAAACUAAUUGGAUACUAAAUUGCUGGCUGCUGAUAGUGAACAACAAUGUAUGGGAGAGUCCUAUUUGUCAGUCCUCUGUCAUGUGUGUCUUGUGUCCCUGCCUCUUGUGUCCUUAUUUGGUCUUGUUCCUGUCCUUGUUCAGUGUGAUUAUUAGUUAAGUCUUGUCCAGCCGUGUUUGAUUAUGUCUAUCAUUAUCUUGUGUAUUUAAGUUCCUGCCUGUUCAGUUAGUGUUCGUUUGGUCUACUCGUAACUCCCUGGUGUUUCUGUCUGUGUGUCAGCCUUGCCUUGUCAUGCCCUGAUGUCAUCAUUGAAGACUAUUGCCGCGUCCCAAUGUGCCUACUUGUACUACGCCCUUAAAGUAUGUCUUUUGAGUGUGUAGUAGAAGAGUAGGCAAGCUUUGGGACAUACUAUCACGUUACACAACUGCGUCUUUAAUGGACCGCUCUGUCACAUCUACACGCACCCUGUCACUGUAAACUGGCCUGUCAAUCAUCUUGUCACAGUUAACAUCCUCCACAUUUCAUUUAACUUCCUACCGUAUUGGAGAAAAAAGAACAAUUUUUAACGCGUUUUAUUCGUGUUUGUAGUUCUGGACCGAAUCCUUCGCCAAAGCGCAAUGGAUUGUGGGCAAUUUUUGCCAUUAGAGUGUGCACGGAUCCACACUUCAAAAAUCAACCUGAAAUAGUAGACCAUCCGGGGACUUUUGGCGUACUCUUUUCAACAUACUAUGCUUUGGGGCACACUUAUUGUAAUCUCACAUACUAUUUAGGAUGGAUAGUAUGAACAUUGGGACGCAGGGUAUUAUUUUGAGUUAUAUCCUCGUCUGAGUGUUCCUCGUUCCUCCCUGCUGUGUGCACUUUGACACUAUUGAGUCAAGCUGGGAGAGCUGAGUUUUAUCAUUUUAAGUAAAUUAUCUAUCAAACUGCCAUUUUCAUAAGCUCCUGCAUCCUUUAAGACUGUAUUUAAAUAUAAUUCCCCAUCCCACACAUGAAAAAAUGAAAACAAAACAAAAAAAAAUUGAGUCAACAGAUCACUUUAUUUGUUGGUGUGUUUGGCAAAAAAAAGUAUUUUUUAUUUCUGAACUCCUCAGUAAUCAAGGGGAAUUUUCUAAUUUGCUGAUUUUAUUACUUUGAAGAGUGAUGUAGUUACAUUUUUUAUAUGAGGAUUUGAUGAAUGUCUCCUUACACAUUGUCAUUUCACAGCAUGUUGUUUCAGACAAGUGGAAAGAAAACAACCAAAAUACACUUUUAAGUAUUUAUUUUAUUGCACUUUAUAUAAUUGUAUGUGUAGAUUUCAAUUACAACACAUUUCUUUAAAUGUUUUUCUCAAAAUGAUUUUUUUCUCCCUCGUGCACUGACCCAGAAAUGUCCACUUUGGUAGCACUUCCAUACAUCAAACUUUUAAAAGGUUUUUACAGAAGGGUUUGUUUUAGAUUAUGAUUUAUAGUCACAUUAUUAUAUUUAUUACUUGCCACAAUAUUUUCAAAUUUUUGCAAUAAGAAGUGAUAUCUAAAAUCUCCUAUGUAAAAACCUGUAACUCUAAUAUGUCAACAAAAUCUGCUGUCUUCAUCCAAUGAUUAGAUUUAUGUUCUGGAAAUGUAUACAAUUUAGUGCAUAUUUAAUUAGAUAAUGCUUCAUUUGCAUAUUUAAACAUUACAUUUUAAAAACUUUUAAUACAAAAAAUGUUUGUAAUUCUUAGUGUUAUCAAUCAAUUGAGGAAGUGGUGAUAUUUGUUACAUUUUUACCUUAUUUGCUUGAGGUGUCUUGCCUUAAAAUUUAUAUAACUACGGCCAGUGUUGUGCCCCCUUAUAGAUUUUAACUAAUUUAACAUACAUUGAAAAUAAUUUAAUUACAUUCAAAGUAUGUUCAAAUAAUUGUAUUUUAUCAUGUAUUUUAACUAAAUAAAAAUGACAAAAUACA